Molecule: transfer RNA, 72 nt
Filed under: Mesocricetus auratus (golden hamster)
Lineage: Eukaryota; Metazoa; Chordata; Mammalia; Rodentia; Cricetidae
Rfam family: tRNA
About the family: Transfer RNA (tRNA) molecules are approximately 80 nucleotides in length. Their secondary structure includes four short double-helical elements and three loops (D, anti-codon, and T loops). Further hydrogen bonds mediate the characteristic L-shaped molecular structure. tRNAs have two regions of fundamental functional importance: the anti-codon, which is responsible for specific mRNA codon recognition, and the 3' end, to which the tRNAs corresponding amino acid is attached (by aminoacyl-tRNA synthetases). tRNAs cope with the degeneracy of the genetic code in two manners: having more than one tRNA (with a specific anti-codon) for a particular amino acid; and 'wobble' base-pairing, i.e. permitting non-standard base-pairing at the 3rd anti-codon position.
Source: Rfam by way of RNAcentral
CUAGAUGUGGCUCAGUGAUAGAGCACUUGCCUAGCAUCCAUGAGGACCUAGGUUCAAUUCCCAGCACUCAGC